This 292-nucleotide long non-coding RNA is filed under the name Mytilus galloprovincialis (Mediterranean mussel). The record is from RNAcentral. Lineage: Eukaryota; Metazoa; Mollusca; Bivalvia; Mytilida; Mytilidae.
CUAAAUCAAAAAUAUAUAUUUCACAGACUAUUUUCACAAAAAAAUCUUGCAUUAAAAACUUAUCAUAAGUUAUACUGAAAAGUUCACGACUAACAUUAUUUUUUACUCAGAAGAUUUUUUGUGAAGAGAGUUGCAGGAGAGUUAAAUUAAAAUAUAUAUAUAUAUAAACAUCAAGGCAGGUUAAAGAUAUUACCACUGAGAGAGUGUUUUACAAAAUUUACAAACAUUUUCUGAUAAACAAUAAAAUGCAUAAAUAAUAUCAAUACACCCAAAUUAAUACCUAACUUAAACA